CGCAUCAGCCGGAGUGCUGGUGCCUGUGUCUAGCAGGUGAAAAGGGAAUGCGCAGCCCCGCGUCGGGGUCAGGCGCAGCCGCCCCCGCGACCGUGACCGGAAAGGGCCCGAAGCCACUGGCGACAUCGCCGGGAAGGCCGGGUUCCGUUGGGAUCGGCAGGACUGCCUGCCGCCCAGUUCCGCAAGCCGGGAGACCUGCCAGUGGCCGCGCCGUGGA
Molecule: non-coding RNA, 217 nt
Filed under: Sagittula stellata
Lineage: Bacteria; Pseudomonadati; Pseudomonadota; Alphaproteobacteria; Rhodobacterales; Roseobacteraceae
Also listed under: 1 other name
Source: RNAcentral